RNAcentral lists this long non-coding RNA (2562 nucleotides) under Salmo salar (Atlantic salmon). RNAcentral describes it as "lncRNA (ENSSSAG00000115975.1)". The record is from RNAcentral. Lineage: Eukaryota; Metazoa; Chordata; Actinopteri; Salmoniformes; Salmonidae.
CUUCUCCAUAUUAUACCGAACAACCUCCACCUCUUGAUACUGAACCUGUUCUUCCUAUAACACCUACUGCCAUUGAACGUCGUUCUUACCCCAUUGUUACCGGAUCUCCUCCUCCCCCUUCUGGAUCCAAACCUUCAUCACCUGUUUUCCAACCUCCAAAACCACCUGCAGAUCCAAAUGACCCAUAUGGGGUCCACAUGACCAUCAAUCAGGCCCUGAUUACUGAAGAGCCCAUGUCUGCUACUGGGAGCCCCAAUCCGGAUCCCUAUACCCAACCUCCUAAAUGGCCUGUGGGUCCAUACUAUUACCCCUAUGGUCCUUACUACCCCCAUUUGGUCCUCACCAUUACCCCUUCAUACCCAUCUACUACCCCUUACCUACCCCAGGGCCUAGCCCAGUCAUGGCUAGUCCUCCCCAGACUCUCCCUUCAGGUCCUCAGGACCCUACAAUGCCCACAGUCUACCCACCCCACCACUACCCUCAGCCAGUCACCUGCUCUCCCUCUGCCCAUACCAUCUGUAGCUAUGACCCAUAUCCCGUGGAUGUGCCACACUACCAGCCACACCAUCCAUAUCCUCUCUACCUGACGCCCAGCCCCUCUCUGACCACCCCGGCCCUUCCUUCCACGGGUACAGCUCUGCCUGGUGCUACUCAACCACCCCAGACCUCACCAACCACCCCCUCACCCUCCUCCAGGACCAUAUCUACCACUACUACUCUCACUCCUUGGAUGUCCAUCCUCACCCCUACUCUCCCCCCUCAGCCCUCCCUCUCUCCUGGGCUCUCCCCUCGGCCAUCCCUCCGCUGUCUAGCAGGACAGAUGAUGGUGUCGCUGCCCUCUGCUCUCCUGGACUCCAUCCAGGUCAAAGAUCAGCUGAAUGGCUGGGUGUCUAUCUCCAGUGCCCCGGCGGCUUGUAGAUACAUCCUGCAGAUGAGUAAGGGUGGUGGAGUGAUCCUCCAUUCCCCUCUCCCUGCCUGCCACAGCCAGGCUAUGGCCCUCAACCCACACCAGCUCUCCCUCCCCCUGAAGUUUUGGGACACAGUCCUGGGGCAAUACAGAACUCUGGAGCUCCAUUGCCCGUCAACUGUGACCCCAUCACCCCACACCACUACCACGACCCACACCAGGCCUCCCACUCCCCCUAAGCCACACGUCUUCUGCUCUGCUCGCCACAUGAGGGUGGAGCUUCCCCCAGGUCCCAUAUCUGGAAUCGUUGUCAAGGACAUCGAAGGGAAUGAGAUGAGCCUGAUGGAUGCCCCAAAGCAUUGUGGGUAUGUGGCAAGCAAGGGCAAGGAUGGCAUGAUCACCCUGAACCGCCCCUUCAACUCCUGUCACAUGACUGUCCAGGGUAAAGAGCACCGCAUGGAUGUGAUUUACUCCACGUUGAACGGACAAAAAGGGAAGGCCCAGUUGUCCUGUCCAGUUUCCAUACCAGUUUCUCAUCAAGAGUGUAACCUUCCCAGUGACCAGCGCCUCCCCUGCGGCCGCCGCCCUCUAUCCCAGGCAGAGUGUCUCUCUCUGGGCUGCUGCUACAGCACCAAGCCCUCUGCCUGCUACUACUCCAUGGAUGGAGGUAGGCCAAACGGUAAUCUACAUGGUGGAGAUCAUCAACACGGUCCAGUCAAUCACCCUCGACUAUGGGACCAUCACCAGAGACUCUCCUAUCAGGCUGCUGGUAGAGUGCCAGUACACUCCUGGCUCUGUGGUGAGUGUUGGCUUCCUGGUCAAGACCCCUCCCUGGGCCCCUCCAUUCAGGCCCAGGGUGUGUUGGGGGUCCAGCUCAGGAUUGCCACAGACGUGCAGUACAGUAGCUUCUACCCCCAGUACCACCGGCCCCUGCAGAUGCUCUUGGGUAAACCCUUACACCUUGAGGUGCGUCUGCUCAACCCCCCCCAGAUGACAAAGUGGUCCUGCUGGUACACUACUGCGUGGCCUACCCCAGAUCAGGACAGACUGUCUGGGUACUCCUCUAUAAUGGAUGUCCUAACCAUCUGGACCCGGCCUCUCAGAAGUCUCACCCAUCUCCUCCACCCCCACCCCUUCCACCAAGGCCAGAUAUGAAGGUUCACCAUCUCCACCUUCCAGUUCCUCACCUCUGGACAGACCCAGACAUUGGAGGACCAUGAAGAGAUCUACUUCAUGUGUUCUACUGAAGAGUGUUCGCCGCUGGACGGCAGCCUGUGUGUAGAGGGAUGCUUUGGCCAGUGACUAGAAAAGAUGGACAGAAAGCAAUAGUCAUGGAAGAUUAACUGGCCCAAGGCUGCUCGUUCACUACUAAUAAAACCCCUUAAAAGGAGACUGUGUGUUUCUUGCUCCCAGGCAGUCUAGUCUAGUUUGGAUGGCAUGAAGCUGACUCCACGAGUGUUGUACUCAGUUGUUUAUGUUCACACUGACUCCGCCUAUGGAGGUUCUAGACAACGGCAUGAAUCAACAUUCUGGAUAUCCAAUAUUGCUCCAUACAUUGUUUUGAAUAUAGGUUAGUAUUUAGAUAAGUUAGCAGACCUCUUCCAUAUUGCACAUACAUACAUGCAUACAUAAUAUCAGCCUAUAGUCAUUAAUUC